ACGCUCGACACCUACGGGAGGAGCAGUGGGGAAUAUUGCACAAUGGGGGAAACCCUGAUGCAGCGACGCCGCGUGAGUGAAGAAGUAUUUCGGUAUGUAAAGCUCUAUCAGCAGGGAAGAAAAUGACGGUACCUGACUAAGAAGCCCCGGCUAACUACGUGCCAGCAGCCGCGGUAAUCUGAGCGGGCUGGCAAGGC
RNAcentral lists this ribosomal RNA (197 nucleotides) under uncultured bacterium. Its description in RNAcentral is "partial 16S ribosomal RNA". It matches the Rfam family "Bacterial small subunit ribosomal RNA", at positions 328 to 539 of the family's 1533-position model. The record is from RNAcentral.